This 190-nucleotide ribosomal RNA is filed under the name uncultured bacterium. RNAcentral's name for it is "partial 16S ribosomal RNA". It matches the Rfam family "Bacterial small subunit ribosomal RNA", at positions 1311 to 1500 of the family's 1533-position model. The record is from RNAcentral.
CUCGCCUACAUGAAGUCGGAAUUGCUAGUAAUCGCGGAUCAGCAUGCCGCGGUGAAUACGUUCCCGGGCCUUGUACACACCGCCCGUCACACCAUGGGAGUCGGUAACACCCGAAGCCUGUAGUCUAACCGCAAGGGGGACGCAGUCGAAGGUGGGAUUGAUGACUGGGGUGAAGUCGUAACAAGGUACC